RNAcentral lists this ribosomal RNA (465 nucleotides) under Vreelandella stevensii. Its description in RNAcentral is "partial 16S ribosomal RNA". It matches the Rfam family "Bacterial small subunit ribosomal RNA", at positions 338 to 795 of the family's 1533-position model. The record is from RNAcentral. Lineage: Bacteria; Pseudomonadati; Pseudomonadota; Gammaproteobacteria; Oceanospirillales; Halomonadaceae.
CCUACGGGUGGCAGCAGUGGGGAAUAUUGGACAAUGGGCGAAAGCCUGAUCCAGCCAUGCCGCGUGUGUGAAGAAGGCCUUCGGGUUGUAAAGCACUUUCAGUGGGGAAGAAAGCCUUGGGGCUAAUACCCUCGAGGAAGGACAUCACCCACAGAAGAAGCACCGGCUAACUCCGUGCCAGCAGCCGCGGUAAUACGGAGGGUGCGAGCGUUAAUCGGAAUUACUGGGCGUAAAGCGCGCGUAGGCGGUCUGAUAAGCCGGUUGUGAAAGCCCCGGGCUCAACCUGGGAACGGCAUCCGGAACUGUCAGGCUAGAGUGCAGGAGAGGAAGGUAGAAUUCCCGGUGUAGGAGUGAAAUGCGUAGAGAUCGGGAGGAAUACCAGUGGCGAAGGCGGCCUUCUGGACUGACACUGACGCUGAGGUGCGAAAGCGUGGGUAGCAAACAGGAUUAGAUACCCGAGUAGUC